Molecule: non-coding RNA, 3540 nt
Organism: Prunus mume (Japanese apricot)
Lineage: Eukaryota; Viridiplantae; Streptophyta; Magnoliopsida; Rosales; Rosaceae
Source: RefSeq, a predicted model, not a curated record
AUACAUUUAAGGAGGGCGGAGGGUGACUCAAUUCGUGACAGCGUCUUUACUCUGCUUAUGCGUAUUUACACAUAUAUUGGCACUGGCCCGCCGCUGCCUUUGUACUUGAGCAACCAAAAUAAAAAAAGAAAAAAAGAAAAAAAAAGAAAGAAAGAGAAAUAGAAUAGAAAUGGACUGAGGAGGAGGAGGCUGGGAAAUGAUGUGGAGUUGGAAGCAGAGAAAUAGAAGACGACGAGGAAAUCCAUGCCUUUGCCUUUGCCUUUGCUUAUAAUACUCAGUCUCUGCCUGGCUGCGACAGUAACUUCCUCCUAGUUUAAUUAUCUUAGUGUGAAGGAACAAGGCAGAGAGUCGAGACGGCCUCAACUUGAGCGGAAAAAAGGAGCCUCCAAGCCAAGGACCAAGCAACGUUGUUCAUUUCCUUCCGCAAUGUACCUCAUUCUGUACGGAUUGAAUUCUUCGAGAUCCGGCCUGAACAAGAUGAAACGCCCAUCAGCAUCAGCAUCCUCUUAAUCAGCGCAAGAUUUGAUUUUUUUUCUCCAAGGGCGCAAGAUUUGAGUUGAAUGUGUGGAGUGGAGAGUUGGUACUGCUAUAUUUAUUUACAGAAAAGAUAAACCUUGAAAGAAUUGCUAGGGUUUCUCUUCUUUCUUUGCCCAUGACUACUAAACGCGCUUACAAACUACAGGAAUUCGUAGCACAUUCUUCAGCUGUGAAUUGCCUUAAGAUUGGGAGAAAAUCUUCCAGAGUUCUUGUCACUGGCGGAGAAGAUCACAAGGUCAAUCUCUGGGCCAUUGGGAAACCCAAUGCCAUACUGAGUUUGUCUGGACACACCAGUGGAAUUGAUUCGGUAAGCUUUGAUUCUUCAGAGGUCUUAGUAGCUGCAGGAGCUGCAAGUGGCACAAUUAAGCUUUGGGAUUUAGAAGAGGCAAAGAUUGUUCGCACACUUACUGGUCACAGAUCCAAUUGUAUAUCUGUGGACUUCCAUCCUUUUGGGGAGUUCUUUGCAUCUGGCUCGCUGGACACAAAUCUCAAAAUAUGGGAUAUCAGGAAGAAGGGGUGUAUUCACACAUACAAAGGCCAUACUCGAGGAGUCAACGCUAUCAGAUUUACACCGGAUGGCCGUUGGGUUGUUUCUGGUGGAGAGGACAACACGGUGAAGUUGUGGGAUCUGACUGCUGGUAAGCUGCUGCAUGAUUUCAAGUGUCAUGAGGGCCAGAUUCAGUGCAUAGAUUUUCAUCCCCACGAGUUUCUGCUAGCUACAGGUUCAGCUGAUAGGACAGUCAAAUUUUGGGACCUCGAAACCUUUGAGUUAAUUGGCUCAUCUGGACCUGAGACAACUGGAGUGCGUUCUUUGACUUUUAGUCCUGAUGGGAGAGCCCUACUCUGUGGAUUGCAUGAAAGUUUGAAGGUUUUCUCGUGGGAGCCAAUAAGAUGCCAUGAUGCCGUGGAUGUUGGAUGGUCUCGAUUGUCAGAUCUUAAUGUUCAUGAGGGAAAGCUUCUUGGAUGCUCAUACAAUCAGAGUUGUGUUGGAGUGUGGGUUGUAGACAUCUCGCGCAUAGAACCGUAUGCAAUUGGUAAUGCUAGCAGAUUGAAUGGGCACACAGAAUCUAAACCGUUGUCUGGCGGGAAUCUGUCAUUACUCAAUGAGAAUGCUGCUAAAAGUUUGGGUCGGCUAUCUGUUUCCCAAUGUUCAGAUUCUUUAGUGAAGGAAACAAAAUCUCUUGGAAGGUUAUCAGUUUCUCAAAAUUCAGAUCCCACUAAGGAGCCAAAAGUUAUUGCAUCCACAGGAAAUGUUCCUGGUACUCCUCAAAGGAUCAAUUUGAACUCCAGUCCAAAAACUAUUGCGGCUAGUUCAGCAGCAGUUCCUAGUGCAACAACCCUGAAGAGGAGUUCUACUAAGAUCAAUUCAACAGCCAAUCUUCCAACUUUUAACAAGUCUGAUGUCAUACCUGUAAUUGUACCGAGAACUAGUAUAAGAUCAGAGUUGCCAGCUGAGUCCAGAAAAGAGGCCGGUGGUUCUGGGAGAACACUGGCAUUUUCUUUGCAGUCAAAGGCAACUGAUUUCCGGAAGUUGUCCAAUAGCAGAGAAGAAGUGGAUAAGCCAACUGUCUCUUCAGUGUCUGAUUCCACUGCUUCUAAGGCUACUGAGUUAAGCAGUGCUGCAGAUAAGAAUGGUUUCUCAACAGUUAUAAGUUCAACCCAGGGAAUACAUACUGCUGAAAGGAACACAAAGGAUGACAGAUAUUUUGGACCUGGGAAGCAUGAGACAAGUUCAAUGAUGGAGGCAACUGCGAGCCACCAGCAUGAAAGUUAUGAAACUCGAGGGCACAAGGUGAGCAGAGAUGCAUACUCUGCUGAAGGUCAAAGAGGAGGAAGAAUGCGCUCACUUGCUGUUAAUUGGGAGAAAAGAGAUAGAUAUUCUAACUACGAGGGACCUACACCCAAUAGUACCCUGGGAACAGCAUCUGCGGCGAACAUUCCCCCUUUGAAUGCGUUUAAGCAGCGAGGUUAUCCUACAUCUGCUGAAAAAGAAUUGGUGUCUGCUAGUGAUGAGGAUGCUAUUGCAGAUCUCAUGGAAAAACAUGACCAAUUUGUUGGCUCCAUGCAAUCUCGUUCAACCAAAUUACAGGUAGUCUAUAGAUAUUGGGAAAGGGAUGAUGUUAAGGGGGUCAUUGGUGCAAUGGAGAAGAUGGCUGAUCAUGCUGUCAUUGCGGAUGUAGUUAGCAUUAUGACAGAAAAAAUUGACAUUGUCACACUGGAUAUAUGCACUUGUCUUCUGCCACUCCUCAAUGGCCUUCUAGAAAGUAACAUGGAUAGGCAUUUAGGCAUUUCUUUGGAAAUGCUGCUCAAGCUGGUUAGAGUAUUUGGUUCUGUGAUCUAUUCAACAUUGUCCGCAUCAUCAUCUGUUGGUGUUGAUAUUGAAGCCGAGCAAAGGCUGGAGCGUUGCAACAACUGUUUUAUGGAGCUUGAAAAAGUCAAAACCUGUUUGUCUGCUCUUACCAGAAGAGGAGGAUCAAUUGCGAAGUCUGCACAAGAGUUGAAUCUAGCACUUCAGGAAGUUUCAUGACUGAAAGUGAAAGUGCAGUCUGGAGGGAGUUUGUGCAUUUUGGAGUUAUGGACCCCUCUUCUUGCAACACCUGAUGGCUGGCUAUCGACGCAACGCUCUGUGUCUUGUGUGGCCUGGCUCGGGCAUCCCCUGGUUGUACAUUAAUGCUAAGUGGAGUUAUUAACUACAAGCUUAUUCUAAACUAUUCAGUAAAACAAGAGGCUAGUUGACAUGUCGGUAUACAUCCUGUCUGCACGGUUUUGGGAACUAUCAAUCCAUUUCUGCUCAGCGGAGAAGAGAUACCACUCCGUUUCACACUUAACCGAAUAUGUAGCAUCAAAUUGUAUCCUUUGGUUGCAUCAGUGAUGAUUUAAUUAUUAUUUUUUUAAAUAGAUACGUUCCUAAUGUAAAAGAUUGGUGCUACUGUAACAGGUAUCCUGAAAAAAACUGCAAAUGUGAGUAACGGCUUUAAUGUUAGAUUCUUUCAAGUCCUCUUU